UGGGCUAGAAAUGUAGGGAUUAAGCCUGUGAAAGCAGGGGGAUUGCCUUUCGGGGUGUAACCUACUUC
Molecule: ribosomal RNA, 68 nt
Filed under: uncultured bacterium
Lineage: Bacteria
Description: partial 16S ribosomal RNA
Source: RNAcentral